This is a non-coding RNA of Mycena latifolia, 93 nucleotides long. The record is from the annotation of a GenBank genome assembly. NCBI's taxonomy places the organism in Eukaryota, Fungi, Basidiomycota, Agaricomycetes, Agaricales, Mycenaceae.
GUCCUCGUAGAUCAACGGUAGAUCAUCCGCAUUGCAUCAGUUUAUUCAUGGCAAUUUUUGAGGAAGGUGUGGGUUCAACUCCCGUCGAGGGCA